UCGCUGACGAGUGGCGGACGGGUGAGUAAUGUCUGGGAAACUGCCUGAUGGAGGGGGAUAACUACUGGAAACGGUAGCUAAUACCGCAUAACGUCGCAAGACCAAAGAGGGGGACCUUCGGGCCUCUUGCCAUCGGAUGUGCCCAGAUGGGAUUAGCUAGUAGGUGGGGUAACGGCUCACCUAGGCGACGAUCCCUAGCUGGUCUGAGAGGAUGACCAGCCACACUGGAACUGAGACACGGUCCAGACUCCUACGGGAGGCAGCAGUGGGGAAUAUUGCACAAUGGGCGCAAGCCUGAUGCAGCCAUGCCGCGUGUAUGAAGAAGGCCUUCGGGUUGUAAAGACCUUUCAGCGGGGAGGAAGGGAGUAAAGUUAAUACCUUUGCUCAUUGACGUUACCCGCAGAAGAAGCACCGGCUAACUCCGUGCCAGCAGCCGCGGUAAUACGGAGGGUGCAAGCGUUAAUCGGAAUUACUGGGCGUAAAGCGCACGCAGGCGGUUUGUUAAGUCAGAUGUGAAAUCCCCGGGCUCAACCUGGGAACUGCAUCUGAUACUGGCAAGCUUGAGUCUCGUAGAGGGGGGUAGAAUUCCAGGUGUAGCGGUGAAAUGCGUAGAGAUCUGGAGGAAUACCGGUGGCGAAGGCGGCCCCCUGGACGAAGACUGACGCUCAGGUGCGAAAGCGUGGGGGAGCAAACAGGAUUAGAUACCCUGGUAGUCCACGCCGUAAACGAUGUCGACUUGGAGGUUGUGCCCUUGAGGCGUGGCUUCCGGAGCUAACGCGUUAAGUCGACCGCCUGGGGAG
Molecule: ribosomal RNA, 800 nt
Filed under: uncultured bacterium
Lineage: Bacteria
Description: bacterial SSU rRNA
Rfam family: Bacterial small subunit ribosomal RNA
Source: RNAcentral